AGAGUUUGAUCCUGGCUCAGGACGAACGCUGGCGGCGUGCUUAACACAUGCAAGUCGAACGAGGCGGCGGCCUUCGGGCCGUCGUCGAGUGGCGAACGGGUGAGUAACACGUGAGGAACCUGCCCCGGAGACCGGGAUAACCAGAGGAAACCCUGGCUAAUACCGGAUGCCCCCGGAUGGUCGCAUGGCCAACCGAGGAAACGCUCCGGUGCUCCGGGAGGGCCUCGCGGCCUAUCAGCUUGUUGGUGGGGUAACGGCCUACCAAGGCAUCGACGGGUAGCUGGUCUGAGAGGACGAUCAGCCACACUGGGACUGAGACACGGCCCAGACUCCUACGGGAGGCAGCAGUGGGGAAUAUUGCGCAAUGGGCGAAAGCCUGACGCAGCAACGCCGCGUGGGGGAUGAAUGCCUUCGGGUUGUAAACCCCUUUCAGCAGGGACGAAAAUGACGGUACCUGCAGAAGAAGCCCCGGCCAACUACGUGCCAGCAGCCGCGGUAACACGUAGGGGGCAAGCGUUGUCCGGAUUUAUUGGGCGUAAAGAGCUCGUAGGCGGUUGCGUAAGUCGGAUGUGAAAACUCAGGGCUCAACCCGGAGACGCCAUCCGAUACUGCGCUGACUAGAGUCCGGUAGAGGAGCAUGGAAUUCCUGGUGUACCGGUGAAAU
This 664-nucleotide ribosomal RNA is filed under the name uncultured Actinomycetes bacterium. RNAcentral describes it as "bacterial SSU rRNA". It matches the Rfam family "Bacterial small subunit ribosomal RNA", at positions 8 to 687 of the family's 1533-position model. The record is from RNAcentral. Lineage: Bacteria; Bacillati; Actinomycetota; Actinomycetes.